RNAcentral lists this ribosomal RNA (251 nucleotides) under uncultured bacterium. RNAcentral's name for it is "partial 16S ribosomal RNA". It matches the Rfam family "Bacterial small subunit ribosomal RNA", at positions 103 to 354 of the family's 1533-position model. The record is from RNAcentral.
CGGGUGAGUAACGCGUGGGUAACCUGCCAUAUACAGGGGGAUAACAGCGAGAAAUUGCUGCUAAAACCGCAUAAGCGCACGGAGUCGCAUGACUCAGUGUGAAAAACUCCGGUGGUAUAUGAUGGACCCGCGUCUGAUUAGCCAGUUGGCAGGGUAACGGCCUACCAAAGCGACGAUCAGUAGCCGGCCUGAGAAGGUGGACGGCCACAUUGGGACUGAGACACGGCCCAAACUCCUACGGAAGGCAGCAG